This 415-nucleotide ribosomal RNA is filed under the name uncultured prokaryote. RNAcentral describes it as "bacterial SSU rRNA". It matches the Rfam family "Bacterial small subunit ribosomal RNA", at positions 505 to 918 of the family's 1533-position model. The record is from RNAcentral.
GUGUCAGCCGCCGCGGUAAAACGUAGGAUCCUAGCGUUAUCCGAAUUUACUGGGCGUAAAGCGCGUGCAGGUGGUUUGGUAAGUUGGAUGUGAAAGCUCCUGGCUCAACUGGGAGAGGCCGUUCAAAACUACCAGACUUGAGGGCGGUAGAGGAAGGUGGAAUUCCCGGUGUAGUGGUGAAAUGCGUAGAUAUCGGGAGGAACACCAGUGGCGAAGGCGGCCUUCUGGGCCGUCCCUGACACUCAGACGCGAAAGCUAGGGGAGCAAACGGGAUUAGAUACCCCGGUAGUCCUAGCUGUAAACGAUGCGAACUUGGCGUUGGUGGGUUAAAAACCAUCAGUGCCGAAGCUAACGCGUUAAGUUCGCCGCCUGGGGAUUACGGUCGCAAGGCUAAAACUCAAAGGAAUUGACGGGG